AGUGAACGCUGGCGGUAGGCCUAACACAUGCAAGUCGAACGGCAGCACAGUAAGAGCUUGCUCUUACGGGUGGCGAGUGGCGGACGGGUGAGGAAUACAUCGGAAUCUACUUUUUCGUGGGGGAUAACGUAGGGAAACUUACGCUAAUACCGCAUACGACCUACGGGUGAAAGCGGGGGAUCUUCGGACCUUGCGCGAUUGAAUGAGCGGAUGUCGGAUUAGCUAGUUGGCGGGGUAAAGGCCCACCAAGGCGACGAUCCGUAGCUGGUCUGAGAGGAUGAUCAGCCACACUGGAACUGAGACACGGUCCAGACUCCUACGGGAGGCAGCAGUGGGGAAUAUUGGACAAUGGGCGCAAGCCUGAUCCAGCCAUACCGCGUGGGUGAAGAAGGCCUUCGGGUUGUAAAGCCCUUUUGUUGGGAAAGAAAAGCAGCAGGUUAAUACCCCGCUGUUCUGACGGUACCCAAAGAAUAAGCACCGGCUAACUUCGUG
RNAcentral lists this ribosomal RNA (492 nucleotides) under uncultured bacterium. RNAcentral describes it as "partial 16S ribosomal RNA". It matches the Rfam family "Bacterial small subunit ribosomal RNA", at positions 29 to 507 of the family's 1533-position model. The record is from RNAcentral.